Molecule: long non-coding RNA, 1069 nt
Organism: Poecilia latipinna (sailfin molly)
Lineage: Eukaryota; Metazoa; Chordata; Actinopteri; Cyprinodontiformes; Poeciliidae
Exons: 3
Source: RefSeq, a predicted model, not a curated record
AGGAGGAGGAGGCGGUCGGCUGCUGGAGGAACCAGUGGCUCAGCUGACGCCGUCCUGGUUGCUUUCCCUCCACAGACCAGAGGUUUGAAUCGGAGCGCUGCAGGCUGGCAGGAGGAUCUGCCACAGCCCGAACCGGAGGGAAGGAGCAGAGGGAGGGCGAUUACUGGUACAUGGAAAAGUGUGGAUCCGAUGUGAAAACCUGCAGGACGUUUGUUCAGGACAGGAAGUCCUCUCUGUCCCGCCUCGUUCCGUCUUCAGAGGGAAGGACAAAAGCUUUUAGCGCUGACAGACUCACCGGCUGCAGCUGAGAAGAAACGGCUCAGAGGCCAAACCUCCCAGUUGUAAUAUAUUUUAAAAAGUCACUUUUACUACUUGAAUAUUUAUAGUUAUUCAUUCAUUUACAUUUCGGCCUUUGGCUCCUGCAGAUAGAUAUAUCUUUCAAGUAAAGAUGGUAGAAUAAAUGCAGCUUUUAAUACGUCAAACUAUAACUUUUGAUGUCAAAACUUGCUUUCAUUUUCCCAGACGAUGUUUUGAUUCCUUAUUUAUUGCCAACAGAUUACAGAACUGCAGACAUUAAACUAAGAAGCUCGCUGUCAUUUAUAGUCAAAGUAAAAUGUUUGUUAUUUCAGCAAAAUGGGUAGAAAUUCAGACUCAGAUAGUGUGAAAUUAAAUAAAGCAGACGUCCCUUUGACCAGUGUGUCAUUAUGUAGAUGAGUUUGCUGCUAAAGGAAAUGUUUGGAAUGUGAAACGGCCGGCCAACAAAUUAGUUGAGACUUGACGUUGCUUUACGCUUGAAUCAACUCGGAAUGGACGGCAAUAAAAAUGGAAAUGUUAGCGAAACGUCCUCCUUUAGCCGAAACCAGCGGUGUGCAUAAUUUUUACGGCCAACAUCCGAUCCCUCAGCAUAAACCAAGCGACUGCCGCUGCCUGGGUGGACAUUUAUAACAAUUAAUCAGAGCGCCGUCGAAUUUGUUCUUGUCAUCCAGUCACUAAAUUACAUCUUCCUGCGACUCCAUGAUGAUCACAGCGUUCCUCUGGCAGAACCAGAGCUGUGAUCAGACGGCUGUGU